Long non-coding RNA from Lagopus leucura (white-tailed ptarmigan), 2364 nucleotides. RefSeq lists it as uncharacterized. The record is from RefSeq and is a predicted model, not a curated record. Lineage: Eukaryota; Metazoa; Chordata; Aves; Galliformes; Phasianidae. The transcript is spliced from 3 exons.
UUCUUCAUGGGAGAGGUGCUUCAGCCCCCUGAUCAUUUUAGUGGCCUUCCUCUGGACCAGUUCCAAGAGCUCCACAUGGAACUUUAGAACCUUAGUCAGAAUCCUUGAUCUAUGGUUGGAAACAGAAGCAACAUUUGGCAGGGAAAGGUGCCAAGGUAUACUGAAAGAGAGGAGUAACUGAAAAUUGAGGUACAGAGCAAACAGAAGACACUUCCUCUCCAAAGCAGAGCUGCGUGCCCUCUGUGAGACAGCUUUAUCAUUGCUUGAGUCCCACUGUGCAACAAUCAGGUGUGCCUUCCAGGUCUUGCCUCGUUAUUAUUGCAGACCUUAAUGCUUGCUACGAGAUUCAAAUGGUUGUUUUUCACAUUUCACAAACAUUUGAGCUUAACUGUUACUUUUUUUGGUAAUGCUAAUGAUGUACUCUUUUUUUUUCCCUUGCUCUAGUUGUAUCUGCUCUGAAUAAGGCAUGGUGUGUGAACUGUUUUGCUUGUUCAACCUGCAACACUAAGUUAACGCUCAAAGAUAAGUUUGUUGAAAUUGAUCUAAAACCUGUCUGCAAACACUGCUAUGAGAAAAUGCCAGAUGAAUUUAAGCGACGCCUUGCCAAACGGGAACGUGAAGCGAAGGAGAAAGAGAAGCAGAAAAAGAAAAAGCCCAUCUGUUUGUAAACUGUUUUUCUUCUCACCACCACCUGUGCUCCUUUCUUCUUUGAAAUAAAUUUGUGGAGUUUGAUAUGAAGCCUGUCUGCAAAAAGUGCUAUGAGAAGUUUCCUCUAGAGCUGAAGAAAAGACUGAAGAAAUUAGCUGAAACUGUGGGAAGGAAGUGAAGACUUCUUCUGCUCUCCCCUUUCCUUAUGAAAAUGUUGUAUCUGUUACUUGGGAGGGACUCUGAGGCUGUAAUCAGACAACAGAUUACAGUGCGUGCCUUUCAUCUUGAAAUUCUCCAUUCUCUCUGUGAGUACGCGUACAAAUACAGAUUUGUUGAUAAACAGAUCACGCUUCUGUCAACUCACCUGAGAGGUUUCUGACCCUGAUAAUGCACCCAUACAAGAGGGCCAUUGAGCACAGUAAUCUCUGAGGAAUUUUAGAUUGAGAAAAUAUGCUUGUGAGUACCUGCAAAAGCACAUUGUGCAAACAGGCCCAACGUUAUGGGCAUGCAGUGUCAUUUAUACUAAUGAAAAUAUCAGCAUGCAAAUGAAGCAUGCAUACAAAAUUCCCCGUGGCCUGGGCAAGAAACCAAACAGACCUCAUUUCCCGGAAAAAUAAUGCUUAGAUUUCAGGUCCAAUAGUCCCACUGAGGAGCCUUGUUGAAGGUGGUUUGAAAAGUAGCGCAUUUCUAAACACAGUCACUGUACAAAUGACCUGCUUCGAUAGUUUGUACUUACACGCUGAAUCUCUGUACAUCAGCCUUAGCAUGAAAUGUCUGUAUGAAGUCUAAUUCCCACUGCAAGAAACAAGUAUACUCAGAUCUGCUUGAAUUUUGCUGUAUUCCAUUCAGAAUAACACAGUCACUUUUAUAUAAGCUCUUGCCUUUGAUUUACUUUUGGUGCCUUAUUCUGCCGGGCCAUAUGUAACAGUGUUCCAUUCAAUAUAUGUCUGUAGUUUUAUUUUUAUUCCUUAUUUUUGUGCAGAAACUCUGUAUGAGGUAUUUUCAAAAGAUAACAGAAUUUGCCUUAAUUAUCCAGGAUGCAAGAGGAACUUUGCUUCGGGUGUGAACACCUGAGGUUGAAGUUUAGCUUCUAGGCUUCCCUGACUUCUGGAACAGCAAUGAAAAUGCGUAUUUGAGUUAACUGGCAAUAUUACUUUUACACUGUGAGUGUAAAUAUGUGAAGUUUGAUCCUACUGGGAUCUGUUUCUUCAGCCAUCUUCAAGAACUGUGCUCACAAAUCGUCAGAAUUCACUGCAGUGUGCUUGUGCUUGCUUUAUACUAUUGACUUCUGUCCAUGAAAGUUUGCUCUUCCCUUUUCUGUCAAAAAUACCAUUACUUAGGAAUUCUUGAUGGUACUGUUAUCAAGUAUGCAAACUUUUUUUUUUUUUUUUUCAUAUUAGAAACACAAUUUUUAUAUCAUUACUUCAUAGCAAGCAAAAUUUUCUUUCCUGCUUAUGGAAAAACAAAUGCUUUAGAACAUCUUUCCAGUGUCAUCAAUAAAGGCUAAUGUUAUUAAAACCUGUAUCACCUCUUUUAUGUGAGUACUUGAGAUGGGUGGAAAAGCAUCUAGGCAGCCUUCCUUCACUAUGCUUCUACCUGUGGCUAUCUGUGUAAAACUCUUUUACUGUCCUGACUUAGAGGAGACAUCUGCCUGUCCUAGAAACGCACUUUAGUUUUUAGGUUUAAAAAAUAAAUUAUCAUUUGUUUCAUAACCAA